This 484-nucleotide ribosomal RNA is filed under the name uncultured bacterium. RNAcentral describes it as "partial 16S ribosomal RNA". It matches the Rfam family "Bacterial small subunit ribosomal RNA", at positions 30 to 507 of the family's 1533-position model. The record is from RNAcentral.
AUUGAACGCUGGCGGCAGGCCUAACACAUGCAAGUCGAGCGGAUGAAGGGAGCUUGCUCCUGGAUUCAGCGGCGGACGGGUGAGUAAUGCCUAGGAAUCUGCCUGGUAGUGGGGGAUAACGUCCGGAAACGGGCGCUAAUACCGCAUACGUCCUGAGGGAGAAAGUGGGGGAUCUUCGGACCUCACGCUAUCAGAUGAGCCUAGGUCGGAUUAGCUAGUUGGUGGGGUAAAGGCCGACCAAGGCGACGAUCCGUAACUGGUCUGAGAGGAUGAUCAGUCACACUGGAACGGAGACACGGUCCAGACUCCUGCGGGAGGCAGCAGUGGGGAAUAUUGGACAAUGGGCGAAAGCCUGAUCCAGCCAUGCCGCGUGUGUGAAGAAGGUCUUCGGAUUGUAAAGCACUUUAAGUUGGGAGGAAGGGCAGUAAGUUAAUACCUUGCUGUUUUGACGUUAACAACAGAAUAAGCACCGGCUAACUUCGUG